UGUGGAAGAGGCCCACUGCACCCAAAACAGAGGAUAUCGCAGCGAAGAAGGUGUCUGUGAUUGCACCCUCCACGUCAAAAGCUGGAAUUAAACGACCUGUCACCCAGGAGGACAGAGAAUGGGCACUGUCAUCUUUGGCACAACUUGACCGUUUUACAGGCCUGGGUUGGAUUUUAGCUCCAGAAGUGCCUCAGACAUUUGACCCAUGCCACCACAGGAAAACUUUUGAUGGGAUUCUGGCCAGCUCCGGUUAUGGUGAUGCAGAGCACAAAGCUCUGUAUAUGCUCUCAUCCCUUGCUGUGAGCCCACAGCAGAAGAAAGACAUUGAGAGAGCCACAGUUGGGCAAACUAAGAAUGCCUUAUGGAUGGCAUAUCGCAAGAACAGGCUCACAGCCAGCACCUUUGGUUUUGUAUUGGCAGCGGUGAAGAGGAAUUCUUACCCGCCUUCUUUAUUCAAAACACUGCUCGGUCAGUACAACCUCAAACAAGGAGCUCAUGCUUGUGAUUGGGGAAUUGUUCAUGAGCAAAAGGCCAAAGAAGAAUACAUGAAGCGCACUAGUGUGACCAUCCAGGAGAGCGGAGUGUUCCUCUCUGAUAGCGGCCUGCUUGGUGGCUCCCCAGAUGGGAUGGUAUCCGAUGACUGCAUCAUUGAGAUAAAAUGUCCCUAUGCAGCCAGACAGAAGACCGUAAUUCAGGCAGCAGAGGCAAAGGACUUUUUUCUCAAACAGGAUGAAGUCACUGGGUUACUGACACUGAAGCAGACCCACAACCACUGGCAUCA
Long non-coding RNA from Acanthochromis polyacanthus (spiny chromis), 781 nucleotides. RefSeq lists it as uncharacterized. The transcript is spliced from 5 exons. Lineage: Eukaryota; Metazoa; Chordata; Actinopteri; Pomacentridae. The record is from RefSeq and is a predicted model, not a curated record.